RNAcentral lists this ribosomal RNA (2101 nucleotides) under human gut metagenome. RNAcentral describes it as "bacterial LSU rRNA". It matches the Rfam family "Bacterial large subunit ribosomal RNA", at positions 379 to 2485 of the family's 2925-position model. The record is from RNAcentral.
ACGACACCUCUCACGAAGAUAGCGGGAUCCCGAGUAGGGCGGGACACGAGAAAUCCUGCCUGAAUUCGCCAGGACCGCCUGGCAAGGCUAAAUACUCCCGAGAGACCGAUAGUGAACCAGUACCGCGAGGGAAAGGUGAAAAGUACCCCGAGCAGGGGGGUGAAAUAGACCCUGAACCCGCGCGCCUACAAGCGGUCGGAGCCAUGAAAUAUGGUGACGGCGUGCCUUUUGCAUAAUGAGCCUACGAGUUAGUCGUCACCAGCGAGGUUAAGGGCUUCAGGCCCGUUAGCCGAAGUGAAAGCGAGCCUUAACAGGGCGUUCAGUUGGUGGCGCUAGACGCGAAACCUUGUGAUCUACCCACGAGCAGGUUGAAGUCGCGGUAACACGUGAUGGAGGACCGAACCGGUAAACGUUGAAAAGUUUUCGGAUGACUCGCGGGUAGGGGUGAAAGGCCAAUCAAACUGGGAAAUAGCUCGUACUCUCCGAAAUGCAUUUCGGUGCAGCCUGUGAUGUUCUGUUCCAGAGGUAGAGCUACUGGUUGGACGCGAGGGCUUCACCGCCUAUCAAAUCCGGAUAAACUCCGAAUGCUGGAACACGAAAUCAUGGAGUGAGCCCGCGGGUGCUAAGGUCCGCGGACGAGAGGGAAAGAACCCGGACCACCGGCUAAGGUCCCGGAUGGACAGUUAAGUUGAUCAAACGAGGUGGGAUCGCGGAGACAGCUAGGAUGUUGGCUUGGAAGCAGCCAUUCAUUUAAAGAGUGCGUAACAGCUCACUAGUCGAGCGAUCCCGCGUGGAUAAUACACGGGCAUCAAACUGUCAACCGAAGCCGUGGGGUUAGUUAAUGACUGACCGGUAGGAGAGCAUUCCUGCCAGCUUUGAAGGUCACCCGCGAGAGUGACUGGAGCGGCAUGAAAAGCAAAUGUAGGCAUAAGUAACGAUAAUGGGGGCGAGAACCCCCCACGCCGCAAGACCAAGGAUUCCCCGGCAAUGUCAAUCAGCCGGGGGUCAGCCGGCCUCUAAGGCUCACCCGAAGGGGGAUGCCGACGAGAAACGGGUUAACAUUCCCGUGCUUCUCGUCACCGUGACGCGGUGACGGGGUGAUGAAUGGACCGCGCGCUGACGGAAUAGCGCGUUGAAGGCCGUACCCUGUGACGGUGGUAGUCAAGCACGCCACCGGAGGCGAAAGUCGAUAGUACCUCGAGGCCUCGGCCGAGGGGAUAGCGUCCAGGCAAUUUACCCCCUAGAAAACCCGCUAAACUUCAAGUGACGAGGAACCGUACUGUAAACGGACACACGUGGUCGGGUAGAAUAUACCAAGGCGCUCGAGUGAUUCAUGGUCAAGGAACUAGGCAAAAUAGUCCUGUAACUUCGGGAAAAAGGACGCUCUAGUGAUAGAGCCGCAGAGUAAUGGCCCAGGCGACUGUUUACCAAAAACACAUGGCUAUGCCAAAUCGAAAGAUGACGUAUAUGGCCUGACACCUGCCCGGUGCCGGAAGGUUAAGAGGAGAGCUCAUCCGCGAGGAGAAGGUUUGAAUUGAAGCCCCGGUAAACGGCGGCCGUAACUAUAACGGUCCUAAGGUAGCGAAAUUCCUUGUCGGGUAAGUUCCGACCUGCACGAAUGGUGUAACGAUCUGGGCACUGUCUCGACCAUGAGCUCGGUGAAAUUGUAGUUCCGGUGAAGAUGCCGGGUACCCGCGACGGGACGGAAAGACCCCGUGAACCUUUACUGCAGCUUCGCGUUGAGUUUCCCGGGCACGGGACGUGUAGGAUAGGUCGGAGGCUACGAGUCGGUUUCGCCAGGAUUCGUGGAGCCAUCGUUGAAAUACGACCCUUCUCUUGUCUGGGAUCUAACCCUUUGUAUAGGGGACACCGCGUGGUGGGUAGUUUGACUGGGGUGGUCGCCUCCAAAAGCGUAACGGAGGCUUCCAAAGGUACCCUCGGGUUGGUUGGUAAUCAACCGUAGAGUGCAAUGGCACAAGGGUGCUUGACCGGGAGACCAACGAGUCGAUCGGGUGCGAAAGCAGGGCAUAGUGAUCCGGUGAUCCCGCGUGGAAGGGUCAUCGCUCAAAGGAUAAAAGGUACUCCGGGGAUAACAGGCUGA